GACGCAAAUGACAAAUUUUCAGCAUUACAGAUUUUGUUAUUUGCGUAGCAUUUUUAUAAUUAAGUGACGCAAAUAACUCUAUUGCAUUUAGGUUAUUUAUUGUGCGCUUUUUUAACCUUAGCUUUUCACGCCUACCUUUCACUAAUUCACUAAACAAAAAUAAAAAAACAGAGUUGCUUCCAGUGAAUUUCUACAGAAAAACACCCAUAAAUUCGACCCAGAAAUCCAACAAAUGCGCCCAAAAAACUGCAAUUCCCCAGCAAAUUCAACACCCAAAAUCGCAAUCAAGUUCAACACCCAUAAUCGGCAGCAAAUCCGAGCAAUUUCGAGCAAAAAUUUAGACAAAAAACCUUAAGUAAUUCGAACCCUUAAACCCCAGAAAAAUUGAUUGUUUCCGACCAAAAAUUCCCCAUUUCGAGCAAAAAAUGUACUCAAUUCCAUACGAAUUCGAACCCUAGAAACCCCAAAAAAUUCAAUUAAAAAUCCUGGCGAAAAUAUUCGAGCAAUAACUGAAAUUUUCGAGUGGAAAAAUCGCUUAAUUUCGCCCCAAAAUCCCCGAGGAAGUUCAAGCAAAUUACACCAACAACAAUUGAAGUUCGAUUUCGGCUCGACAUUGUUGAAUUUUUGAAGUCAAUUUCACCUAAGGCAUCAUCAUAAUGGGCGAUGGGAAGCACGAAUUGGGCGAGUUUAUGAGAACAAGUACCUCUACUUAGGCACUUUCAAUUCUUAAUUAUGCGGAAGUGAAUUCCACAAGUUGCUCGAGGUUCUGGUUGUGGACAAACGAUUAAGGCGAUAGUACGCAUACGAGAUUGUCUUCACUUGUGUGCCCUCAACAAUUGGGUGGACGUGAGUGUGGCUACUACGUCAUGCGUUAUAUGUACGAAAUACUUGAACAUCACCAUAGCAGUGAGGAUCUUAUUCAGGAUUUUUCAAGAACUACACCGUACACCGAGGAGGAGAUAAAUGAGAUUCGAGAUAUUUGGGCAGAGUAUUUUAUAUGUAAUGUUGAACUUUAGAUUUACACUUAGCGCAUGUUGGACUCUUGUUUUGGAUUAUAGGCUUGACAUGAAUGAUUUUGGUUAAUUGGUGUUGGGAUGAUGAGUAUAAUGUCUAUGAUAUUCAGAUGUAAAUUAUUGGACAGGUUGUUAAUAUAAUGCCGUCAUUCCCAAUUUUAUGGGUAGGCCAAAUUACAAAAGAGACUCUGCCGAAAUUUACAUUUGCAUUAUUCAAUAAUAUUGCAUUUUAAUUUCAA
Chenopodium quinoa (quinoa) is the source of this 1252-nucleotide long non-coding RNA. RefSeq lists it as uncharacterized. Lineage: Eukaryota; Viridiplantae; Streptophyta; Magnoliopsida; Caryophyllales; Amaranthaceae. The transcript has 5 exons. The record is from RefSeq and is a predicted model, not a curated record.